GUGCAGCAGUCGCGAAACCUCCGCAAUGCGGGAAACCGCGACGGGGGGACCCCGAGUGCCGUGGCAACGCCACGGCUUUUCCGGAGUGUAAAAAGCUCCGGGAAUAAGGGCUGGGCAAGGCCGGUGGCAGCCGCCGCGGUAAUACCGGCGGCCCGAGUGGUGGCCGCUAUUAUUGGGCCUAAAGCGUCCGUAGCCGGGCCCGUAAGUCCCUGGCGAAAUCCCACGGCUCAACCGUGGGGCUUGCUGGGGAUACUGCGGGUCUUGGGACCGGGAGAGGCGGGGGGUACCCCUGGGGUAGGGGUGAAAUCCUAUAAUCCCCAGGGGGACCGCCAGUGGCGAAGGCGCCCCGCUGGAACGGUCCGACGGUGAGGGACGAAGGCCAGGGGAGCAAACCGGAUUAGAUACCCGUGUAGU
Molecule: ribosomal RNA, 414 nt
Filed under: uncultured microorganism
Description: bacterial SSU rRNA
Rfam family: Archaeal small subunit ribosomal RNA
Source: RNAcentral